GACGAACGCUGGCGGCGCGCCUAACACAUGCAAGUCGAGCGUGAAGCCCCCUUCGGGGGGCGGAAAGCGGCGAACGGGUGAGUAACACGUGAGGAACCUACCCCGGACUCUGGGAUAACAGCGGGAAACCGCUGCUAAUACCGGAUACACCACCCCCACCGCAUGGCGGAGGUGGGAAAGACUUAUCGGUCCAGGAUGGUCUCGCGGCCUAUCAGCUUGUUGGUGGGGUAACGGCCUACCAAGGCUACGACGGGUAGCUGGCGUGAGAGCGUGGCCAGCCACAUUGGAACUGAGAUACGGUCCAAACUCCUACGGGAGGCAGCAGUGGGGAAUCUUGCACAAUGGGCGAAAGCCUGAUGCAGCGACGCCGCGUGAGGGAUGAAGGCCCUAGGGUUGUAAACCUCUUUCAGCAGGGACGAAGCGAAAGUGACGGUACCUGCAGAAGAAGCCCUGGCUAACUACGUGCCAGCAGCCGCGGUAAUACGUAGGGGGCGAGCGUGUCGNUUAUUGGCGUAAG
This 517-nucleotide ribosomal RNA is filed under the name uncultured bacterium. RNAcentral's name for it is "bacterial SSU rRNA". It matches the Rfam family "Bacterial small subunit ribosomal RNA", at positions 28 to 564 of the family's 1533-position model. The record is from RNAcentral.